RNAcentral lists this ribosomal RNA (1209 nucleotides) under metagenome. RNAcentral's name for it is "bacterial SSU rRNA". It matches the Rfam family "Bacterial small subunit ribosomal RNA", at positions 278 to 1498 of the family's 1533-position model. The record is from RNAcentral.
GAUGACUAGGGGAUCUGAGAGGAUGAUCCCCCACACUGGUACUGAGACACGGACCAGACUCCUACGGGAGGCAGCAGUAAGGAAUAUUGGUCAAUGGGGGCAACCCUGAACCAGCCAUGCCGCGUGCAGGAAGACGGCCCUACGGGUUGUAAACUGCUUUUAUACGGGAAUAAUUCCCCAUUCGUGAAUGGGGUUGAAUGUACUGUAAGAAUAAGGAUCGGCUAACUCCGUGCCAGCAGCCGCGGUAAUACGGAGGAUCCAAGCGUUAUCCGGAUUUAUUGGGUUUAAAGGGUGCGUAGGCGGCCUAUUAAGUCAGGGGUGAAAGACGGUGGCUCAACCAUCGCAGUGCCUUUGAUACUGAUAGGCUAGAUUACACUAGAGGUAGGCGGAAUGUGACAAGUAGCGGUGAAAUGCAUAGAUAUGUCACAGAACACCGAUUGCGAAGGCAGCUUACUAUGGUGUCAAUGACGCUGAGGCACGAAAGCGUGGGGAUCAAACAGGAUUAGAUACCCUGGUAGUCCACGCCCUAAACGAUGAAUACUCGAUGUUAGCGAUAUACAGUUAGCGUCAAAGCGAAAGCGUUAAGUAUUCCACCUGGGGAGUACGCCCGCAAGGGUGAAACUCAAAGGAAUUGACGGGGGCCCGCACAAGCGGAGGAGCAUGUGGUUUAAUUCGAUGAUACGCGAGGAACCUUACCCGGGCUUGAAAGUUAGUGAAUGGAUCAGAGAUGAUUCAGUGAGCAAUCACACGAAACUAGGUGCUGCAUGGCUGUCGUCAGCUCGUGCCGUGAGGUGUUGGGUUAAGUCCCGCAACGAGCGCAACCCCUAUGUUUAGUUGCCAGCACGUUAAGGUGGGGACUCUAAACAGACUGCCUGUGCAAACAGAGAGGAAGGAGGGGACGACGUCAAGUCAUCAUGGCCCUUACGUCCGGGGCUACACACGUGCUACAAUGGAUGGUACAGAGGGCAGCUACUUCGCAAGGGACGCCAAUCUCAAAAAGCCAUUCACAGUUCGGAUAGAGGUCUGCAACUCGACCUCUUGAAGUUGGAUUCGCUAGUAAUCGCAGAUCAGCAAUGCUGCGGUGAAUACGUUCCCGGGCCUUGUACACACCGCCCGUCAAGCCAUGGAAGCUGGGGGUACCUGAAGUACGUAACCGCAAGGAGCGUCCUAGGGUAAAACCGGUAACUGGGGCUAAGUCGUAACAAGGUA